RNAcentral lists this ribosomal RNA (468 nucleotides) under uncultured bacterium. RNAcentral describes it as "partial 16S ribosomal RNA". It matches the Rfam family "Bacterial small subunit ribosomal RNA", at positions 28 to 507 of the family's 1533-position model. The record is from RNAcentral.
GACGAACGCUGGCGGCGUGCCUAACACAUGCGAGUCGAACGGAAAGGCCCUGCUUUUGUGGGGUGCUCGAGUGGCGAACGGGUGAGUAACACGUGAGUAACCUGCCCCUGACUUUGGGAUAACUUCAGGAAACUGGGGCUAAUACCGGAUAGGAGCUCCUGCUGCAUGGUGGGGGUUGGAAAGUUUCGGCGGUUGGGGAUGGACUCGCGGCUUAUCAGCUUGUUGGUGGGGUAGUGGCUUACCAAGGCUUUGACGGGUAGCCGGCCUGAGAGGGUGACCGGCCACAUUGGGACUGAGAUAGGGCCCAGACUCCUACGGGGGGCAGCAGUGGAGAAUAUUGCACAAUGGGCGGAAGCCUGAUGCAGCAACGCCGCGUGCGGGAUGACGGCCUUCGGGUUGUAAACCGCUUUCGCCUGUGACGAAGCGUGAGUGACGGUAAUGGGUAAAGAAGCACCGGCUAACUACGUG